AACACAUGCAAGUCGAACGGGGCGAUUUAAGCUGCUUAGAUGAGCCUAGUGGCAAACGGGUGAGUAACGCGUAGGCAACCUGCCUCUAAGAUGGGGACAACAGAGCGAAAGUUCUGCUAAUACCGAAUGUUGUAUCUUUUCCGCAUGGGAGAGAUAUUAAAGAUGGCCUCUACUUGUAAGCUAUCACUUAGAGAUGGGCCUGCGUCUGAUUAGCUAGUUGGUGAGGUAACGGCUCACCAAGGCGACGAUCAGUAGCCGGUCUGAGAGGAUGAACGGCCACAUUGGGACUGAGACACGGCCCAGACUCCUACGGGAGGCAGCAGUGGGGAAUCUUCCGCAAUGGGCGAAAGCCUGACGGAGCAACGCCGCCGUGAGUGAAGAAGGUCUUCGGACCGUAAAGCUCUGUCGAAGGGGACGAACGUAACCUUUAUCAACAACGAGGGUUAAUGACGGUACCUUUCAAGAAAGCCACGGCUAACUACGUGCCAGCAGCCGC
RNAcentral lists this ribosomal RNA (496 nucleotides) under uncultured bacterium. RNAcentral's name for it is "bacterial SSU rRNA". It matches the Rfam family "Bacterial small subunit ribosomal RNA", at positions 50 to 518 of the family's 1533-position model. The record is from RNAcentral.